UACGUAGGGCGCAAGCGUUGUCCGGAAUUAUUGGGCGUAAAGAGCUCGUAGGCGGUUUGCUGCGUCCGCUGUGAAAACCCAAGGCUUAACCUUGGGCUUGCAGUGGAUACGGGCAGACUAGAGGUAGGUAGGGGAGAAUGGAAUUCCCGGUGUAGCGGUGAAAUGCGCAGAUAUCGGGAGGAACACCGGUGGCGAAGGCGGUUCUCUGGGCCUGUACUGACGCUGAGGAGCGAAAGCGUGGGGAGCGAACAGG
RNAcentral lists this ribosomal RNA (253 nucleotides) under uncultured bacterium. RNAcentral's name for it is "partial 16S ribosomal RNA". It matches the Rfam family "Bacterial small subunit ribosomal RNA", at positions 524 to 776 of the family's 1533-position model. The record is from RNAcentral.